This 642-nucleotide long non-coding RNA is filed under the name Lonchura striata (white-rumped munia). Its description in RNAcentral is "domestica (Bengalese finch) lncRNA (ENSLSDG00000001297.1)". Lineage: Eukaryota; Metazoa; Chordata; Aves; Passeriformes; Estrildidae. The record is from RNAcentral.
AUAACAACCGCGACAGACAGGACGAGCCCCUGGUCCAGCAUGAUCUCGGAAACAGGGCAGGUGGCUGGGCAGCAUCCUCUGGAGUCCAGGCCUGAAGAUCAGCACUCUAUAGAUACAGGUUGUUUCCAAAGAGGGAACAGCAGCACCUUGUCCAGCAUGCUGCAAGGGGACAGCCAGAGCGUGCUCAGCACCCUGAGCCCACCCAUGAGCCCUUACACAGGUGGGAACAGUCCCUGGGGAGCAGCAGGAGACUUCCAGACCUUCAACACCAGCACAGAAACAGCAGAGAAGGAGCCACUUUGGCCAGUUGAAGGGAGCCUCUGGAACAGAGUACUGAACACUGAACCCAUAAAGAAAAGUGUGGAGUUCCAUGCAGGCUCCAAGGAACUGCUGCCAUCUCCGGGAGACAUGGGUUUGACCAAUCAAAAAACUACUGAGAGAGAGGAGGAGGAGGAGGAAAAUGCUGAGGUUGUAAAUGGAGAUCAUCAAGGCAAGGAAGGAAGUGGUUCUGAUGAGAACUGUGUUCAGAGUGUAUCAGCCCAAGCUGGCUCAGAAAGAAAUAGUGAGAGCUUCCCUGAUGACGGCAGUGAAGACCCAGUGGAAAGCUCAGAAAACCUCAUCAAACAAAAAAUCACUUUCUGA